Molecule: ribosomal RNA, 1499 nt
Filed under: metagenome
Description: bacterial SSU rRNA
Rfam family: Bacterial small subunit ribosomal RNA
Source: RNAcentral
AGAGUUUGAUCCUGGCUCAGGAUGAACGCUAGCUACAGGCUUAACACAUGCAAGUCGAGGGGAAACGAUAUUGGAAGCUUGCUUCCGAUAGGCGUCGACCGGCGCACGGGUGAGUAACGCGUAUCCAACCUGCCCAUCACUUGGGGAUAACCUUGCGAAAGUAAGACUAAUACCCAAUGACGUCUCUAGAAGACAUCUGAAGGAGAUUAAAGAUUUAUCGGUGAUGGAUGGGGAUGCGUCUGAUUAGCUUGUUGGCGGGGUAACGGCCCACCAAGGCAACGAUCAGUAGGGGUUCUGAGAGGAAGGUCCCCCACAUUGGAACUGAGACACGGUCCAAACUCCUACGGGAGGCAGCAGUGAGGAAUAUUGGUCAAUGGGCGAGAGCCUGAACCAGCCAAGUAGCGUGCAGGAAGACGGCCCUAUGGGUCGUAAACUGCUUUUAUAAGGGAAUAAAGUGAGCCUCGUGAGACUUUUUGCAUGUACCUUAUGAAUAAGGACCGGCUAAUUCCGUGCCAGCAGCCGCGGUAAUACGGAAGGUCCGGGCGUUAUCCGGAUUUAUUGGGUUUAAAGGGAGCGUAGGCCGGAGAUUAAGCGUGUUGUGAAAUGUAGACGCUCAACGUCUGCACUGCAGCGCGAACUGGUUUCCUUGAGUACGCACAAAGUGGGCGGAAUUCGUGGUGUAGCGGUGAAAUGCUUAGAUAUCACGAAGAACUCCGAUUGCGAAGGCAGCUCACUGGAGCGCAACUGACGCUGAAGCUCGAAAGUGCGGGUAUCGAACAGGAUUAGAUACCCUGGUAGUCCGCACGGUAAACGAUGGAUGCCCGCUGUUGGUCUGAACAGGUCAGCGGCCAAGCGAAAGCAUUAAGCAUCCCACCUGGGGAGUACGCCGGCAACGGUGAAACUCAAAGGAAUUGACGGGGACCCGCACAAGCGGUGGAGCAUGUGGUUUAAUUUGAAGCAACGCGAAGAACCUUACCAAGUCUUGACAUCCUUCUGACCGGUACUUAACCGUACCUUCUCUUCGGAGCAGGAGUGACAGGUGGUGCAUGGUUGUCGUCAGCUCGUGUCGUGAGAUGUUGGGUUAAGUCCCGCAACGAGCGCAACCCUUAUCUUUAGUAGCCAGCGGUUCGGCCGGGCACUCUAGAGAGACCGCCAGGGAUAACCUGGAGGAAGGCGGGGAUGACGUCAAAUCAUCAUGCCCCUUAUGACUUGGGCUACACACGUGCUACAAUGGCGUAAACAAAGGGAAGCAAAGCUGUGAAGCCGAGCAAAUCUCAAAAAUAACGUCUCAGUUCGGACUGUAGUCUGCAACCCGACUACACGAAGCUGGAAUCGCUAGUAAUCGCAGAUCAGAAUGCUGCGGUGAAUACGUUCCCGGGUCUUGUACACACCGCCCGUCACACCAUGGGAGUUGGGAAUGCCCGAAGCCAGUGACCUAACCGAAAGGAAGGAGCUGUCGAAGGCAGGCUCGAUAACUGGGGUGAAGUCGUAACAAGGUA